RNAcentral lists this ribosomal RNA (2148 nucleotides) under Listeria monocytogenes. RNAcentral describes it as "partial 23S ribosomal RNA". It matches the Rfam family "Bacterial large subunit ribosomal RNA", at positions 181 to 2323 of the family's 2925-position model. Lineage: Bacteria; Bacillati; Bacillota; Bacilli; Caryophanales; Listeriaceae. The record is from RNAcentral.
GACCCAGGGAACUGAAACAUCUAAGUACCUGGAGGAAGAGAAAGAAAAAUCGAUUUCCUGAGUAGCGGCGAGCGAAACGGAAAGAGCCCAAACCAAGAAGCUUGCUUCUUGGGGUUGUAGGACACUCUAUACGGAGUUACAAAAGAAAGUUAUAAAUGAAGCGGUCUGGAAAGGCCCGCCAAAGACGGUAACAGCCCGGUAGUUGAAAUGGCUUUCCCUCCAGAGUGGAUCCUGAGUACGGCGGAACACGUGAAAUUCCGUCGGAAUCCGGGAGGACCAUCUCCCAAGGCUAAAUACUCCCUAGUGACCGAUAGUGAACCAGUACCGUGAGGGAAAGGUGAAAAGCACCCCGGAAGGGGAGUGAAACAGUUCCUGAAACCGUGUGCCUACAAGUAGUUAGAGCCCGUUAAUGGGUGAUAGCGUGCCUUUUGUAGAAUGAACCGGCGAGUUACGAUUUGUUGCAAGGUUAAGCGGAAAAAGCGGAGCCGUAGCGAAAGCGAGUCUGAAUAGGGCGCAUAAGUAACAGGUCGUAGACCCGAAACCAGGUGAUCUACCCAUGUCCAGGAUGAAGGUAAGGUAAUACUUACUGGAGGUCCGAACCCACGCACGUUGAAAAGUGCGGGGAUGAGGUGUGGGUAGCGGAGAAAUUCCAAUCGAACUUGGAGAUAGCUGGUUCUCUCCGAAAUAGCUUUAGGGCUAGCCUCGAGGUAAAGAGUCAUGGAGGUAGAGCACUGUUUGGACUAGGGGCCCUUCUCGGGUUACCGAAUUCAGAUAAACUCCGAAUGCCAUGUACUUAUACUCGGGAGUCAGACUGCGAGUGAUAAGAUCCGUAGUCGAAAGGGAAACAGCCCAGACCACCAGUUAAGGUCCCCAAAUAUAUGUUAAGUGGAAAAGGAUGUGGGGUUGCUUAGACAACCAGGAUGUUGGCUUAGAAGCAGCCACCAUUGAAAGAGUGCGUAAUAGCUCACUGGUCGAGUGACCCCGCGCCGAAAAUGUACCGGGGCUAAACAUAUUACCGAAACUGUGGAUGAACCUCUUUAGAGGUUCGUGGUAGGAGAGCGUUCUAAGGGCGGUGAAGUCAGACCGGAAGGACUGGUGGAGCGCUUAGAAGUGAGAAUGCCGGUAUGAGUAGCGAAAGAAGGGUGAGAAUCCCUUCCACCGAAUAUCUAAGGUUUCCUGAGGAAGGCUCGUCCGCUCAGGGUUAGUCGGGACCUAAGCCGAGGCCGAUAGGCGUAGGCGAUGGACAACAGGUAGAGAUUCCUGUACCAGUGCUAAUUGUUUAACCGAUGGGGUGACACAGAAGGAUAGGGAAUCGCACGAAUGGAAAUGUGCGUCCAAGCAGUGAGUGUGAGAAGUAGGCAAAUCCGCUUCUCGCGAAGCAUGAGCUGUGAUGGGGAAGGAAAUUAAGUACGGAAGUUCCUGAUUUCACGCUGUCAAGAAAAGCCUCUAGGAAGAGUAGUACUGCCCGUACCGCAAACCGACACAGGUAGAUGAGGAGAGAAUCCUAAGGUGAGCGAGAGAACUCUCGUUAAGGAACUCGGCAAAAUGACCCCGUAACUUCGGGAGAAGGGGUGCUCUAUUAGGGUGCAAGCCCGAGAGAGCCGCAGUGAAUAGGCCCAGGCGACUGUUUAGCAAAAACACAGGUCUCUGCAAAACCGUAAGGUGACGUAUAGGGGCUGACGCCUGCCCGGUGCUGGAAGGUUAAGAGGAGUGCUUAGCUUCGGCGAAGGUACGAAUUGAAGCCCCAGUAAACGGCGGCCGUAACUAUAACGGUCCUAAGGUAGCGAAAUUCCUUGUCGGGUAAGUUCCGACCCGCACGAAAGGCGCAACGAUCUGGGCACUGUCUCAACGAGAGACUCGGUGAAAUUAUAGUACCUGUGAAGAUGCAGGUUACCCGCGACAGGACGGAAAGACCCCGUGGAGCUUUACUGCAACCUGAUAUGGAAUGUUUGUACCGCUUGUACAGGAUAGGUAGGAGCCGAAGAGACGUGUGCGCUAGCAUACGAGGAGGCAAUGGUGGGAUACUACCCUGGCUGUAUGACCAUUCUAACCCGCCACGCUUAGCGCGUGGGGAGACAGUGUCAGGUGGGCAGUUUGACUGGGGCGGUCGCCUCCUAAAGAGUAACGGAGGCGCCCAAAGGUUCCCUC